This 305-nucleotide ribosomal RNA is filed under the name uncultured bacterium. Its description in RNAcentral is "bacterial SSU rRNA". It matches the Rfam family "Bacterial small subunit ribosomal RNA", at positions 334 to 631 of the family's 1533-position model. The record is from RNAcentral.
GAUUCCUACGGGAGGCAGCAGUAGGGAAUCUUCGGCAAUGGGCGAAAGCCUGACCGAGCAACGCCGCGUGAAUGAAGAAGGCCUUCGGGUUGUAAAAUUCUGUUAUAAGGGAAGAAAGGUGAUAGGAGGAAAUGACUAUCAAUUGACGGUACCUGAGUAAGAAGCACCGGCUAAAUACGUGCCAGCAGCCGCGGUAAUACGUAUGGUGCAAGCGUUAUCCGGAUUUACUGGGUGUAAAGGGAGCGCAGGCGGUGCGGCAAGUCUGAUGUGAAAGCCCGGGGCUCAACCCCGGGACUGCAUUGGAA